RNAcentral lists this ribosomal RNA (405 nucleotides) under uncultured bacterium. RNAcentral's name for it is "bacterial SSU rRNA". It matches the Rfam family "Bacterial small subunit ribosomal RNA", at positions 355 to 774 of the family's 1533-position model. The record is from RNAcentral.
UGGGGAAUUUUGGGCAAUGGGCGCAAGCCUGACCCAGCAACGCCGCGUGGAGGAUGAAGGUUUUCGGAUCGUAAACUCCUGUCCAGAGGGACGAAGCAAGUGACGGUACCUCUGGAGGAAGCCCCGGCUAACUCCGUGCCAGCAGCCGCGGUAAUACGGGGGGGGCCAGCGUUGUUCGGAAUUACUGGGCGUAAAGGGCGCGUAGGCGGCUUCGGAAGUCAUGGGUGAAAGCCCCGGGCUCAACUCGGGAAUAGCCUGUGAAACCACGGAGCUGGAGUGCUGGAGAGGAAAGCGGAAUUCCCAGUGUAGCGGUGAAAUGCGUAGAUAUUGGGAGGAACACCUGUGGCGAAGGCGGCUUUCUGGACAGACACUGACGCUGAGGCGCGAAAGCCAGGGGAGCGAACG